RNAcentral lists this transfer RNA (83 nucleotides) under Treponema sp. RNAcentral describes it as "tRNA-Ser". It matches the Rfam family "tRNA". From Rfam's summary of the family: Transfer RNA (tRNA) molecules are approximately 80 nucleotides in length. Lineage: Bacteria; Pseudomonadati; Spirochaetota; Spirochaetia; Treponematales; Treponemataceae. The record is from RNAcentral.
GGAGCGGUGUCCGAGUGGUUGAAGGAGGCGGUCUUGAAAACCGUUGUGCUAAGGUACCGGGGGUUCGAAUCCCCCCUGCUCCG